GAUCGCAUGGCGCAGUGGAUAGCGCUGAUGUUUUCCAAUUUUUCAGUGCGGGUUCAAUUCCCGCCAGUGACG
Molecule: non-coding RNA, 72 nt
Organism: Caenorhabditis brenneri
Lineage: Eukaryota; Metazoa; Nematoda; Chromadorea; Rhabditida; Rhabditidae
Source: the annotation of a GenBank genome assembly